Molecule: ribosomal RNA, 253 nt
Filed under: uncultured bacterium
Lineage: Bacteria
Description: partial 16S ribosomal RNA
Rfam family: Bacterial small subunit ribosomal RNA
Source: RNAcentral
UACGAGUGCUCCAAGCGUUAUCCGGAAUUAUUGGGCGUAAAGGGUGUGUAGGCGGUUGUGUUAGUCUUCUGUUAAAUUCUUCGGCUUAACCGGGGGCAUGCAGAGGAAACGGCACAACUUGAGGAUGCGAGAGGUGAAUGGAACUCAUGGAGUAGGGGUGAAAUCCGUUGAUAUCAUGGGGAACACCAAAUGCGAAGGCAAUUCACUGGCGCACUCCUGACGCUGAAACACGAAAGCGUAGGUAGCGAAUGGG